CCUACGGGAGGCAGCAGUAGGGAAUCUUCCACAAUGGACGAAAGUCUGAUGGAGCAACGCCGCGUGAGUGAAGAAGGGUUUCGGCUCGUAAAGCUCUGUUGGUAGUGAAGAAAGAUAGAGGUAGUAACUGGCCUUUAUUUGACGUUAAUUACUUAGAAAGUCACGGCUAACUACGUGUCAGCAGCCGCGGUAAUACGUAGGUGGCAUGCGUUGUCCGGAUUUAUUUGGCGUAAAGCGAGUGCAGUCGGUUGGAUAAGUCUGAUGUUAAAGCCUUCGGCUCAACCGGAGAAUUGCAUCAGAAACUGUUUAACGUGAGUGCAGUAGAGGAGGGUGGAACUCCAGGUGUAGCGGUGGAAUGCGUAGAUAUAUGGAAGAACACCAGUGGCGAAGGCGGCUCUCUGGUCUGCAACUGACGCUGAGGCUCGAAAGCAUGGGUAGCGAACAGGAUUAGAUACCCUUGUAGUC
RNAcentral lists this ribosomal RNA (465 nucleotides) under uncultured bacterium. Its description in RNAcentral is "partial 16S ribosomal RNA". It matches the Rfam family "Bacterial small subunit ribosomal RNA", at positions 338 to 795 of the family's 1533-position model. The record is from RNAcentral.